Molecule: ribosomal RNA, 486 nt
Filed under: uncultured bacterium
Lineage: Bacteria
Description: bacterial SSU rRNA
Rfam family: Bacterial small subunit ribosomal RNA
Source: RNAcentral
AUUGAACGCUGGCGGCAUGCCUUACACAUGCAAGUCGAACGGCAGCACGGGAGCAAUCCUGGUGGCGAGUGGCGAACGGGUGAGUAAUAUAUCGGAACGUGCCCAGUCGUGGGGGAUAACGUAGCGAAAGCUACGCUAAUACCGCAUACGAUCUAUGGAUGAAAGCGGGGGAUCGCAAGACCUCGCGCGAUUGGAGCGGCCGAUAUCAGAUUAGGUAGUUGGUGAGGUAAAGGCUCACCAAGCCGACGAUCUGUAGCUGGUCUGAGAGGACGACCAGCCACACUGGGACUGAGACACGGCCCAGACUCCUACGGGAGGCAGCAGUGGGGAAUUUUGGUACAAUGGGCGCAAGCCUGAUCCAGCAAUGCCGCCGUGCAGGAUGAAGGCCUUCGGGUUGUAAACUGCUUUGUUACGGAACGAAACGGUGAGCUCUAAUACAGUUUGCUAAUGACGGUACCGUAAGAAUAAGCACCGGCUAACUACGUG